Long non-coding RNA from Herpailurus yagouaroundi (jaguarundi), 468 nucleotides. RefSeq lists it as uncharacterized. The transcript is spliced from 2 exons. The record is from RefSeq and is a predicted model, not a curated record. Lineage: Eukaryota; Metazoa; Chordata; Mammalia; Carnivora; Felidae.
CAGUGUGCACCUGCCAUGAAAUGCACACACGGCCAUUUAUUCUUUCCAUCAGCCGUUGGAAAUCACACUCAUGUCAUGAACGAGGAGACCAAGGAGCCAGCCAGGCCCCUGGGCCUGGAGCAUCCGAGAACGGAAAAUAUGAGAACGCUGGCACCCGGCCAAGAAACAUGGAUUAUUCAGACUGGCACAAGCUGGCUAGUGGGGCAGGGGAAGUGACUGGAAGGGGAAACUGAGACACGGGUGAGGUCCAAGCAGCCCUGGACAGCUUCAAAAAACUGCUUGCCACUUGAAAGGACAAGGAGACCAGCCUUGGAGACCCACGAGCUCCGGGUCCCGCCUCCGUGCCUCAGUUUCCUCCUCUGUGCACGGGAUGGGAAUUCGUUUUCUUCAAUGUGUGAGGGGACCCAUCAAGCUUUCAUGCGUGCAAAAUGCUUUGCAUGUAAAACUUCCUUUCCCUGGCUGCCCACA